GGAGGGGUACUGUUCAGUGGUGGAGCGUGUGCUUAGCAUGCACGAGGUCUUGGGUUCAAUCCCCAGUCCUUCCA
This is a transfer RNA of Camelus ferus (Wild Bactrian camel), 74 nucleotides long. It matches the Rfam family "tRNA". Rfam says of the family: Transfer RNA (tRNA) molecules are approximately 80 nucleotides in length. Their secondary structure includes four short double-helical elements and three loops (D, anti-codon, and T loops). NCBI's taxonomy places the organism in Eukaryota, Metazoa, Chordata, Mammalia, Artiodactyla, Camelidae. The record is from Rfam.